UGGAUCCAGACUUUGAUCAUGGCUCAGGAUGAACGCUAGCGGCAGGCUUAACACAUGCAAGUCGAGGGGCAGCGCGGGAUAGCAAUAUCCUGGCGGCGACCGGCGGAAGGGUGCGUAACGCGUGAGCGACAUGCCCGUUGCCCGGGGACAACCGGUGGAAACGCCGACUAAUCCCCGAUGGGAUACGAUGCUUCAUGGCAUUGUAUUGAAAGUUACGGCGGCGACGGAUUGGCUCGCGUCCGAUUAGCUGGUUGGCGGGGUAACGGCCCACCAAGGCUACGAUCGGUAGGGGUUCUGAGAGGAAGGCCCCCCACAAUGGGACUGAGACACGGCCCAUACUCCUACGGGAGGCAGCAGUGAGGAAUAUUGGUCAAUGGGCGGAAGCCUGAACCAGCCAUGCCGCGUGCGGGAAGGAGGCCCUAUGGGCUGUGAACCGCUUUUGCCUGGGGGCAAUAAGGGCGUCGCGCACGUCCGAUGAGAGUACCAGGCGAAUAAGCAUCGGCUAACUCCGUGCCAGCAGCCGCGGUAAUACGGGGGAUGCGAGCGUUAUCCGGAUUCAUUGGGUUUAAAGGGUGCGUAGGCUGUGCGUCAAGUCGGGGGUGAAAUUCCGGUGCUCAACACCGGGGCUGCCCUUGAUACUGUCGCGCUGGAGUGCGGAUGCCGCCGGAGGAAUGAGUGGUGUAGCGGUGAAAUGCUUAGAUAUCACUCAGAACACCGAUUGCGAAGGCAUCUGGCGAAUCCGUAACUGACGCUGAGGCACGAAAGCGUGGGGAUAGAACAGGAUUAGAUACCCUGGUAUUCCACGCCGUAAACGAUGAUGGCUAACCGCCGGCGACACACUGUCGGUGGCCAAGCGAAAGCGAUAAGCCAUCCACCUGGGGAGUACGUCGGCAACGAUGCAACUCAAAGGAAUUGACGGA
Molecule: ribosomal RNA, 920 nt
Filed under: uncultured Bacteroidota bacterium
Lineage: Bacteria; Pseudomonadati; Bacteroidota
Description: bacterial SSU rRNA
Rfam family: Bacterial small subunit ribosomal RNA
Source: RNAcentral